This 448-nucleotide ribosomal RNA is filed under the name uncultured bacterium. RNAcentral's name for it is "partial 16S ribosomal RNA". It matches the Rfam family "Bacterial small subunit ribosomal RNA", at positions 330 to 793 of the family's 1533-position model. The record is from RNAcentral.
ACCAGACUCCUACGGGAGGCAGCAGUGGGGAAUAUUGCACAAUGGGGGGAACCCUGAUGCAGCGACGCCGCGUGGGUGAAGGAGUACUUCGGUACGUAAAGCCCUAUCAGCAGGAAAGAAAAUGACGGUACCUGACUAAGAAGCCCCGGCUAACUACGUGCCAGCAGCCGCGGUAAUACGUAGGGGGCAAGCGUUAUCCGGAUUUACUGGGUGUAAAGGGUGUAUAGGCGGGACUGCAAGUCAGAUGUGAAAACCACGGGCUCAACCUGUGGCCUGCAUUUGAAACUGUAGUUCUUGAGUACUGGAGAGGCAGACGGAAUUCCUAGUGUAGCGGUGAAAUGCGUAGAUAUUAGGAGGAACACCAGUGGCGAAGGCGGUCUGCUGGACAGCAACUGACGCUGAGGCGCGAAAGCGUGGGGAGCAAACAGGAUUAGAUACCCUUGUAGAG